Molecule: ribosomal RNA, 392 nt
Filed under: uncultured bacterium
Lineage: Bacteria
Description: bacterial SSU rRNA
Rfam family: Bacterial small subunit ribosomal RNA
Source: RNAcentral
GACGAACGCUGGCGGCGUGCUUAACACAUGCAAGUCGAACGGUGACGGAGAGCUUGCUCUCCUGAUCAGUGGCGAACGGGUGAGUAACACGUGGGCAACCAGCCCAGACUUCGGGAUAACGCUUCGAAAGAGGUGCUAAUACCGGAUGCGAGCUCCUUGGGCAUCCUUGGAGUUGGAAAGUUUUUUCGGUCUGGGGAUGGGCCCGCGGCCUAUCAGCUAGUUGGUGAGGUAACGGCUCACCAAGGCGACGACGGGUAGCCGGCCUGAGAGGGCGACCGGCCACACUGGGACUGAGACACGGCCCAGACUCCUACGGGAGGCAGCAGUGGGGAAUAUUGCGCAAUGGGCGAAAGCCUGACGCAGCAACGCCGCGUGAGGGAUGACGGCCUCGG